UAGUGCAUAACAGGACCAGGGAUGUGACACAGAACUCCGAAGUUAAGCGUGCUUGGGCGGGAGUAGUACUAGGAUGGGUGACCUCCUGGGAAGUCCUCGUGUUGCAUUCC
RNAcentral lists this ribosomal RNA (110 nucleotides) under Triticum aestivum (bread wheat). The record is from RNAcentral. Lineage: Eukaryota; Viridiplantae; Streptophyta; Magnoliopsida; Poales; Poaceae.